GCAAGUCGAGCGCGAAAUCUCUUCGGAGAGAGUAGAGCGGCGGACGGGUGAGUAACGCGUAGGAAUCUACCCAGUAGUGGGGGACAACAUGGGGAAACCCAUGCUAAUACCGCAUACGCCCUACGGGGGAAAGCGGGGGAUCUUCGGACCUCGCGCUAUUGGAUGAGCCUGCGUUGGAUUAGCUAGUUGGUGGGGUAAAGGCCUACCAAGGCGACGAUUGGUAGCCGAACUGAGAGGUUGAUC
This 243-nucleotide ribosomal RNA is filed under the name uncultured bacterium. RNAcentral describes it as "partial 16S ribosomal RNA". It matches the Rfam family "Bacterial small subunit ribosomal RNA", at positions 57 to 305 of the family's 1533-position model. The record is from RNAcentral.